RNAcentral lists this transfer RNA (72 nucleotides) under Hypoxylon sp. FL1857. RNAcentral describes it as "tRNA-Gln". It matches the Rfam family "tRNA". From Rfam's summary of the family: Transfer RNA (tRNA) molecules are approximately 80 nucleotides in length. Their secondary structure includes four short double-helical elements and three loops (D, anti-codon, and T loops). The record is from RNAcentral. Lineage: Eukaryota; Fungi; Ascomycota; Sordariomycetes; Xylariales; Hypoxylaceae.
GCUCCUAUAGUCUAGUGGUUAGGACGUCGGAUUCUGAUUCCGAAAACAUUGGUUCGAUUCCAGUUAGGAGCU